CCAAUAGCGUAUAUUAAAGUUGUUGCAGUUAAAAAGCUCGUAGUUGAACUUCGGGGUUCACCCAUUGGUCAGGCUUAAUUGUCUGUACUGGUGAGAUGAGUCUCUACCUUCUGAGGAACUUUCAUGCCAUUUAUUUGGUGUGAUGGGAAAUCAGGACUGUUACUUUGAAAAAAUUAGAGUGUUUAAAGCAGGCUAACGUCUGAAUACAUUAGCAUGGAAUAAUGAAAUAGGACGGAUUGAUUCUAUUUCGUUGGUUUCUAGGGUCACCGUAAUGAUUAAUAGGGAUAGUUGGGGGCAUUAGUAUUCAAUUGUCAGAGGUGAAAUUCUUGGAUUUAUUGAAGACUAACUACUGCGAAAGCAUUUGCCAAGGAUGUUUUCAUUAAUCAAGAACGAAAGUUAGGGGAUCGAAGACGAUCAGAUACCGUCGUAGUCUUAACCAUAAACUAUGCCGACUAGGGAUCGGACGCAGUUAAUUUUAUAAUGACGUGUUCGGCACCUUACG
RNAcentral lists this ribosomal RNA (502 nucleotides) under uncultured Diversispora. Its description in RNAcentral is "SSU rRNA". It matches the Rfam family "Eukaryotic small subunit ribosomal RNA", at positions 591 to 1092 of the family's 1831-position model. Lineage: Eukaryota; Fungi; Glomeromycota; Glomeromycetes; Diversisporales; Diversisporaceae. The record is from RNAcentral.